AUUGAACGCUGGCGGCAGGCUUAACACAUGCAAGUCGAGCGAGCGGCGGACGGGUGAGUAAGGUCUGGGAAACUGCCUGAUGGAGGGGGAUAACUACUGGAAACGGUAGCUAAUACCGCAUACCACCUGAAGUGCCCGGAUGGGAUUAGCUAGUCGGUGGGGUAAUGGCUCACCUAGGCGACGAUCCCUAGCUGGUCUGAGAGGAUGCCCAGCCACACUGGAACUGAGACACGGUCCCGACUCCUACGGGAGGCAGCAGUGGGGAAUAGUGCACAAUGGGCGCAAGCCUGGUGCAGCCAUGCCGCGUGUGUGAAGAAGGCCUUAGGGUUGUAAAGCACUUUCAGCGAGGAGGCGUUACUCGCAGAAGAAGCACCGGCUAACUACGUGCCAGCAGCCGCGGUAAUAC
Molecule: ribosomal RNA, 406 nt
Filed under: uncultured bacterium
Lineage: Bacteria
Description: partial 16S ribosomal RNA
Rfam family: Bacterial small subunit ribosomal RNA
Source: RNAcentral